Bos taurus (domestic cattle) is the source of this 4735-nucleotide long non-coding RNA. Lineage: Eukaryota; Metazoa; Chordata; Mammalia; Artiodactyla; Bovidae. The record is from Ensembl.
GUGACAUGGUCCCAGCCAGGCGACGGAGGUGAGCUGCCCCGAGGGGGCCCCUUCCAGAGGACAAGACAGAGCAGCGUCUCCCUGGCCCUUUAUCCUUCUUGGAAUGCCAGAGUCUCAGAGGCGUGCCACUCACCUCAGACCUGAGCCCACAGGUCCAGAGCCCCGAAGAUGGAGAGAACCAGGGUCCCUGCCCGGUCCGCCACCCCUGCCUCCCCCGCCGGGGACAACACCCCUCUGUUAUCUGCAGCUGACCCACAUGCACCUGAAUACUAGGGCCUCAUCAUUGAGAGUAAACACAAUAGAGGUUAGACAGGCCGUCUCCAUGGAAAUAACUCCCACCUCCCUGCUGUCUAGCAGAGAGGAUUGACAUCAAUACCACUCAAUCACAGCGUUCUCUUGUCUUCUUUGGAGCACUGAAAAGUUGGUGCCUCUAUUCACUGACCUGUAAACCCAGAACCACCCAAGUGCUGGGCAGAGUCGGGCUCCACAGACACUUCCUCCCCUGGAACGACUGCCUGCUGACCAAGAGCGGGGACACAGUCAUUUCACAGUGGCUGCGGUGGAGGGCCGAGGGUACAGCAAAGCCUCGUCUUACCAGGUCUGUGUUUUCUCUCCCACACGCCACACCCUCACACCUCCCGAGCUUGAGGAAAGGCUGAGGAGCAUCUCAUCACGUGGGCCCAGGUGUCGUGCUGGGAGAGAUGCUCACCCCAGGUCACCUGGAACAGCCCAAAAGGACAGGAAGGAGAAGCGAAAUACCCAGAAUCCCCUGCACAUAAGCCCUGAGGCAAGGAGGUGAGCCCCUCGUUGGAGGACAGGGAACCACACUGGAGGAAAGGGAAGAGCUGGUGCAAAGGCACUGAGGCCUUGGAGGAAUGAGAGUUGUGGGUGUGUCAGGGAGCACAGCGAGGAGGACUGAGGCUAGACAGUAGUGGUGGUUGGUUUUUAAAGCAUGAGAUUAUCAUUAACUCUGUUUAUAAUAAUGACAAUGUUUGUCCAGCACCAACUAUGUUCCAGGCACUUUGCAUCCACCAUCUCAGUCCCUCCAACCCCCAGGAGGCAGGCCUUACAAUUAUCCCCAUCUUUAGAAGACAAACCUGAGGCCCAGAGAAUCAAACUGACUUUCACAGGACACCUGACAAGAAGGAGCAGAGCUAGAAUCUCAGUCUAGGCUCCUGGCUCCACAAACAUCAUUCCCAAGGCCCAUUUACACCACAACCCCUGCCCUUGGGCAAAGUGAAGAGAGCUGCUCAGUGUCCGGUGACAUGGAUCAGUCAGCACAUCCUGCUGUGUAACAAAGGCACACAACCUGGGGCAUUUCCACCCCGCGGCUGAAGUGGUCAGCUAGGCGUCCCUGCUGACGCUGGCUGGGCUACUUACUCGUCUGAAGUUCUGCUGGGGUGAAUGAGCAUCUCCUCUCCGUCCUCAGUCCAGGAGCUCAGGCCCUGCUCACACAGAUGGCAGAGGUGCCCAAGGACUAGUGGAGGCAGGUAAGUGUGCCUCCAAGCUUCUGCCUGAGUGACGUCUGCCAGCACCCUAUUGGCCAGAGCAAGUCACAGAGUGAAACCCAGCUUCCAGGGACAGGGAAAUCUACCCACCACUUAAUAGAAGGAGCUACAAAGCCCUCAGCAAAGGCUGAAGCCCUGAGGCCACUUAUGCAUGCAUUCCACCUGCACAGCUCUCACCAGCACCUCUCACCAGCCAGACCCAGCAGGGAGCCUGGGGACCCAGCAGGCAGCCAGGGGAAUAAUGUAGCCCUCAGCCCGCGCACAGAGCCAGCCAGGAAGGGCUGAGGGCACAGAGGGAGCCUCCUGGGAACAAGUUGCCUCAGUCUCCCUGGUCCCAAGCCAGCGCACACAAGCAGAGCCCUGGUUCGGACCCAGGAGGGCUGGGUGGGGGAGACUCUGCACGCCCAAAGCAGGCUCCUGGGGAGGCCCAGGCUGUUCCCAAGGCAGCACCCGCGAGGAGCAAACGCCUACAGGGAGAUGCCCAGAGGACACUCAGUCAGUGCCUACUGCGGCUGGGCUUUCCCUUCUUCCAGCCUCUGAGGCAGGAAUGGCAGCCGGAGGGAAAAUCAGCGCCAGCAAUUUGAGAGACUCACCGGAGUCACCCGUUUCCAGGCGGCCCCUCUCUCUGCCGGUGUGCUCCUGGGCUCCGGGAACCAGCCCACAGACGGCCGUGACCCAGUCCUCCAUCUCACACAUGCUAGGGGUCCAGCCUUCUUAUUCACAGUCUCGGAUCCUCAGGACCUGAAAAAGAAAGAUCACCAGCUCCAUUUUAUGUAGGAGGAAACCUAGACUCUGGAAACUUAAACACCUCACCAAGAGUCCCCAGGGAAGGAGAGCAGAGCCCUGCGGGAACCCAAACCUGCCUGAACGCUCUGCUCAGGCCCCAGCCCUGCCUCUCAGACUCAGCUGCCAUCACUCUAUAGUACUGAACUGGCAGGGCCCCUGGGGUCCUGCUUUGGAAGGCGGGGACUGUGAUCCCCCCGCCUGGAUUCAGACCUUACUUCUGCCAGCCCUGCACACACACUGGGCCUCCUGGGAACCCCACUCAGUUUCCUCGACUGUCAAGAAGGGACAAGGACAUUCCCAAUCGCAUCAUCACGUUGUGAGGCACCAUCCAGUUAUCCUGUGUGACCCCGGCAUGUUCAAACUCUGGAUAGAUACGCAACGAUCAUGCCGUUUAGAUUCCGGUGGAGAAACACAACUCGCAAAUCAUCAAAACUGGGAAUCUGUCAUCUGACUGCGUGUGCAAGGUUAGAACUCCAAGAACCUAUGUGUGAUGAAAUGAACAGCAGCACCAACCGCACUAUCCGAGAAGUUGCCCAGCCCCGUGGGACUGGGUGCCCAGGAGGCCUCCCGCUUGUGGACUGGUCUCAGCUACCCCAGACGAGAGCGUGUCCCGUCUCCUCACCAAGCCAGCCUCCACCGCGGGCUGGGAACAGACCUGGGGAGAGCAGCCUGGAAUGUCUGGGGCCUCCCGUCACUCCUGCCUGGACACCUCCGUGCAGAGGCGGCGAUGCGAGGCCACUGAAGAGUGGCCUCCAACAUCAUUUCUCCAAACCACACAGAAGACGCUGGGCAAGUUUGUUUCUGAGAAGACAGGCAGGGAUUUGAGUUUCUGGCGCUUGUUUGCACAAAGGAUUUCAGCCGUCUUUCUCUUGACACACAGCUUAAACACGUUAGCUGACCCUUAAAUGGAAUCCCCAUGAUGCCCCGGCUCCCUCCAAGAAAAUUUCAGGGCAGGGGGUGGGAGGGGGGGAUAAAAUGCAUUGUGUCCUGUCGGCUUAUUCCUGGCACUGCCAGUUUAGGGUUGAUGACUCCAUGCCAACUGUGUCUCCUGCUUUAUUUGGGUGUCUUUUUCUCUUCUCCUUUACCUUUUAACUAAAACACAAAAUAAGCAUUUUGAUUGCCUUCAGCUGUUAAGAGGGAAGUACAUCUCACCCCCGCCCCCCAGCCCCUGGCUGUUUGCUGGCAGAGAUCAAACGUGAAUUUCUCAAAAAACAAAAAGUGGAAAGUUUACAAAUACAGGACUCAGAAUCUGCAACAGUGCACCAUCACUCCAAGUCAGGGAUGUGUAGCCCAACAUGCUUGCCGGCAACCAGGCUUCCCGUGCUCUUUCUGUAAACCCACAUGCAAAGAUGGUACCAGGGCCACUUUCUGCCCGUCUACCAGGAAAAAAACAAAAAAGAAAGCCCAGAAGAGGCAAUAAUCUUUGCAUCAGCUGAGGCCCCAUCAGCCUGGCUGGCAAACUGAAACAUAAUAUUUUAGGCUGAAGUUGAUCACAUAGGUUUGCUGAAUUCAUUUUCUGAAAGUCUUGCCCCGAACAAGUUUAGUCAUUUUCAUGAAGUCUGAAAGUGCUUUUUCUUGUUGGGUGUCUGAAACCUGAAAUAUUUUCAACUAAAUGAGAAAAUGUUCGCUGUUGAAUGACCUAUUAGAGCUGUCACAAACGUGAUUUCUGGAAAUAAACAAGAUCGUAAGAAGGUUGGCCGGAGCAGAAACGUAAGUCAGCGUUAAUAGGUGGUGUAAUUAAAUUAUCCCUUAAGCCAAGGUGCCAAGUGACACAGCUUUGUGUGUGUGAAUUCUAAUACAGUCACCUCCCUGGGCCUGCACAAAUCUGAAUGGACUUCUCUCCAGAAUCACUAAUUUUACUUUCUUCGGUUUCUACGUAUCAAAUAGCUCUCUCUGUUCUGCUAGCUAACCAAAGUUCUUGAGACAGACAAGCCCAUAUUUUCUCGUAUCAUUUUACAGAGGUUCACUUGAUACAAACCUGGCUCCAUAAACAAUGUUUAUUUUUUAUGGUUUAGUAUCUUGCUCAAGAAAAUUAGAACUAAGUUUCAUGAAGAUUUAUUUUCAUUUUAACUAUAUUGUUCACUGGCCACUGCCACUCAAUACUUAAAUGACUUUCUCCCCAAAGGGCAACAUCUUUAAAGCGGAACAGAGUUUAUUUAAACAGCUGGUUUUUUGCACAAUCAUUUUAUUAAUACAUAGAUUGAAGUCAUGAAUAGUCGGUAUCUUGCUCAGUUUGUAAAUACAUACAGGAAUAAAAGCUGGCAUAUCAUUCAAUUAAAUUCUUAAAGAGCAACACAUGAUUAAUUGCUACCAGUAGGAUGAAGUCAUUGUACUCUGCUGCAUCUACAUAUUCCUAUGUCUUUAAAUAGCAUUUCACACUUGGAGUAAAAUGAAUUCCUGCCUGUCUCCCCGCCAAGGACAAAUGAUAACAUCAUUUUUAG